GUGGGGAAUAUUGCACAAUGGGGGAAACCCUGAUGCAGCGACGCCGCGUGGAGGAAGAAGGUCUUCGGAUUGUAAACUCCUGUUGUUGAGGAAGAUAAUGACGGUACUCAACAAGGAAGUGACGGCUAACUACGUGCCAGCAGCCGCGGUAAAACGUAGGUCACAAGCGUUGUCCGGAAUUACUGGGUGUAAAGGGAGCGCAGGCGGGAAGACAAGUUGGAAGUGAAAUCCAUGGGCUCAACCCAUGAACUGCUUUCAAAACUGUUGUUCUUGAGUAGUGCAGAGGUAGGCGGAAUUCCCGGUGUAGCGGUGGAAUGCGUAGAUAUCGGGAGGAACACCAGUGGCGAAGGCGGCCUACUGGGCACCAACUGACGCUGAGGCUCGAAAGUGUGGGUAGCAAACAGGAUUAGAAACCCUAGUAGUCC
RNAcentral lists this ribosomal RNA (425 nucleotides) under uncultured bacterium. RNAcentral describes it as "partial 16S ribosomal RNA". It matches the Rfam family "Bacterial small subunit ribosomal RNA", at positions 354 to 796 of the family's 1533-position model. The record is from RNAcentral.